CUUGCACUGGAUACUGCUGUAGGCUUCAAGCCCUCGACUGGAUCCUUCAGGUCUCCAGACAUCUUGCCCUCUUCUACAUCUGACUCUAUCUCUGACCAUUCUCCGGAGCACCCCCGAGUGGGAGGUCCAGGUGAAGCCUCUGUGUGGAAGAAAGGCUGGCUGAAUAUCCAACAGCAGCUCCAGCUCAGUGUGAAGACAUCUACAGUACUUGGCUGAGACUACACUGCUAUGGAGGAAGAUACUAGACUGAUAAUUCAAGACCUGUUUAGAUCGAAGAUCAAAAAGGGACGCUUGAAGGUUCCAGCUUCUUUUCUAAAACAGAGGCUGAAAGAUCAAGAAAGGCUGUGAACACACAUUGAGGAGAAGAGCAAACCAAGAUAAGAAAUGAAUGUGAAGACUUAAUGGCAGCUGCAUGAAAAAUGCAUCAUAAUGUCUUCAUUUGACCAAGAUUUACUGAGUACUUACAUCAUGUUGGAUCCUCUGGAUAAAAUGGUGAAGGAGACAUACCUGGUUCCUGGCUCUACAAUGCUUACAGGCUAGUGGGAAAACGGAGAGAAAUAACUAGAUGGCGACAUGAUGGUGUGAAAGGAAAACAUUAUGUGAUGAUCCUGCUCUACGUGACAAGAAUUAACUGCUGAAUUCUGGUAACAGAAGUGCCUGGGGUAGCUGGAGAACACUGAGUAGUGGGAGAGGGGCACAAAAACAGCCUGAAGCACAGCACAGUGACUUCUGCAGCUAAAGACAAGCUGCAAACAUACUUUGGAACUUUGGAACCGUUUCACCAAGAACUUACAAAAACAUCCCAUCAGGAUAAAACAGCAGUGAUUACAUCUUAACAAGAACCAAAGAAGGCUUAAUAUUGCACUCAGCACAAAGCAGUACAGAAAGACUCAAUAAGAACCAAUGGUUGCCUACACAGAAAGUAAUCCAUCUGCUGAAAAAUGUAUUAAGUGAAGAGCCAUAAAGUGCAAGUAUUUCCUACAGGUUACCUGCUAUAUAAGGUCUCCAGUCAUUCUGUUUCAGAGAAGAUGCUGAAAUAAACACACAUUCAGUGAAAGAAUUCAAUGCAUGCAGUGAAAAAAUGUAUUCCCCGCCAUUCCACCUAAAAGUUAAUUCCUUUCGAUUAAAUGAGAUAAGAGAUAUGAUAAGAAUCUUGGACCAGGAAAAAAUACUAUAAAAAAUAUUACUGGUGGCAAAUUGCAAAAUCUAAAUAUGAUACAAUACUAUUACCUAACCCAGUGUAAAAUGUUCUGCUUUUAACAAGUAUGUUGUGGUCAUGUAAGACUCACUGCUCUUGGUAUACACUGAAGUCCUGGGGGUAGGAGAAGCAUGGCAUCCGUAACUGUUAAUUCUGGGUGGAGGAUGGGGGAGUCACAAAGCAAAACAACUGGUGCAUUUGGGGGAAAUGUAUGUGAGGGUUAACUCUGGUGAAAUUUUCAGUUAUAUCAAAAUGAAAAGUUACUAAAAAGAGUCAAUUCACCUCUCUUCUUACAUUUCCUUGGGAAGAUAUGUCAUUCUGUGGUAGUCAAGUUUCAGAGUGACCAAGAGGAUGAAUGUUUUGGAAGUUGCAGAGGUCACUAGUGUGAAGAAUUAGGCAUUCCAUCAUUAGCUCUCCACUGAUUAUGCUAGAUCUAGAACUGAUUCCGUCCUUACAGUAGAGCACUCUCUUGUUUAGUGUGGAAUUAGGCAGUUACUACGGCCAACUUCAGCUACUGCUACAGUUACUCUCUAACCAGUCUCCAUCCUUUACCCUUACCGUCAUGCUGUGUAGCUGGGAUGGUUCUAACAGAAGUCCCUUGUUCCAUAUAUUUGUGCUUUAAAGUAUAUGCUUUACAGGGCCGGGGAUUUA
Heterocephalus glaber (naked mole-rat) is the source of this 1849-nucleotide non-coding RNA. Lineage: Eukaryota; Metazoa; Chordata; Mammalia; Rodentia; Bathyergidae. The record is from RefSeq and is a predicted model, not a curated record.